CGCGAAGAACCUUACCCAGGCUUGAACUGCAAAUGACAUCCUACGAGGGUAGGCUUCCGCAAGGACAUUUGUAGAGGUGCUGCAUGGCUGUCGUCAGCUCGUGUCGUGAGAUGUUGGGUUAAGUCCCGCAACGAGCGCAACCCUUGUCUUCUGUUGCCAUCAGGUUAAGCUGGGCACUCUGAAGAGACUGCCGGUGACAAACCGGAGGAAGGUGGGGAUGACGUCAAGUCAGCAUGGCCUUUAUGUCUGGGGCUACACACGUGCUACAAUGGCCGACACAAACCGUCGCGAGCCCGCGAGGGGGAGCUAAUCGGAUAAAGUCGGUCUCAGUUCGGAUUGUAGGCUGCAACUCGCCUGCAUGAAGUUGGAAUCGCUAGUAAUCGCGGAUCAGCACGCCGCGGUGAAUACGUUCCCGGGUCUUGUACACACCG
This 431-nucleotide ribosomal RNA is filed under the name uncultured bacterium. Its description in RNAcentral is "bacterial SSU rRNA". It matches the Rfam family "Bacterial small subunit ribosomal RNA", at positions 960 to 1392 of the family's 1533-position model. The record is from RNAcentral.